Molecule: ribosomal RNA, 303 nt
Filed under: Klebsiella pneumoniae
Lineage: Bacteria; Pseudomonadati; Pseudomonadota; Gammaproteobacteria; Enterobacterales; Enterobacteriaceae
Description: partial 23S ribosomal RNA
Rfam family: Bacterial large subunit ribosomal RNA
Source: RNAcentral
UGUUUCGGCUAGGGGGUCAUCCCGACUUACCAACCCGAUGCAAACUACGAAUACCGAAGAAUGUUAUCACGGGAGACACACGGCGGGUGCUAACGUCCGUCGUGAAGAGGGAAACAACCCAGACCGCCAGCUAAGGUCCCAAAGUCAUGGUUAAGUGGGAAACGAUGUGGGAAGGCACAGACAGCCAGGAUGUUGGCUUAGAAGCAGCCAUCAUUUAAAGAAAGCGUAAUAGCUCACUGGUCGAGUCGGCCUGCGCGGAAGAUGUAACGGGGCUAAACCAUGCACCGAAGCUGCGGCAGCGAC